This 417-nucleotide ribosomal RNA is filed under the name uncultured eukaryote. RNAcentral's name for it is "bacterial SSU rRNA". It matches the Rfam family "Eukaryotic small subunit ribosomal RNA", at positions 592 to 1017 of the family's 1831-position model. The record is from RNAcentral.
CAAUAGCGUAUAUUAAAGUUGUUGCAGUUAAAAAGCUCGUAGUUGGACUUCUGAUUCGAAAGAUCGGUCCGCCGCAAGGCGAGCACUGAUUCUUCGAGUCUUCCUCUCGUAGUUGUUUGGCGCACUUGAUUGGGUGCCAGAUGAAUAUGGGACCUUUACUUUGAAAAAAUUAGAGUGUUCAAAGCAGGCAAUCGCUUGAAUACAUUAGCAUGGAAUAAUAGAAUAGGACUUUGGUUCUAUUUUGUUGGUUUCUAGGACCGAGGUAAUGAUUAAUAGGGAUAGUGGGGGCAUUAGUAUUUAAUUGUCAGAGGUGGAAUUCUCAGAUUUGUUAAAGACUAACUUAUGCGAAAGCAUUUGCCAAGGAUGUUUUCAUUAAUCAAGAACGAAAGUUAGGGGAUCAAAGACGAUCAGAUACCA